GAUGAACGCUGGCGGCGUGCCUAAUACAUGCAAGUCGAGCGAACGGACGAGAAGCUUGCUUCUCUGAUGUUAGCGGCGGACGGGUGAGUAACACGUGGAUAACCUACCUAUAAGACUGGGAUAACUUCGGGAAACCGGAGCUAAUACCGGAUAAUAUUUUGAACCGCAUGGUUCAAAAGUGAAAGACGGUCUUGCUGUCACUUAUAGAUGGAUCCGCGCUGCAUUAGCUAGUUGGUAAGGUAACGGCUUACCAAGGCAACGAUGCAUAGCCGACCCGAGAGGGUGAUCAGCCACACUGGAACUGAGACACGGUCCAGACUCCUACGGGAGGCAGCAGUAGGGAAUCUUCCGCAAUGGGCGAAAGCCUGACGGAGCAACGCCGCGUGAGUGAUGAAGGUCUUCGGAUCGUAAAACUCUGUUAUUAGGGAAGAACAUAUGUGUAAGUAACUGUGCACAUCUUGACGGUACCUAAUCAGAAAGCCACGGCUAACUACGUG
Molecule: ribosomal RNA, 497 nt
Filed under: uncultured bacterium
Lineage: Bacteria
Description: partial 16S ribosomal RNA
Rfam family: Bacterial small subunit ribosomal RNA
Source: RNAcentral